Molecule: ribosomal RNA, 465 nt
Filed under: uncultured bacterium
Lineage: Bacteria
Description: partial 16S ribosomal RNA
Rfam family: Bacterial small subunit ribosomal RNA
Source: RNAcentral
CUAUGGGUGGCACCAGUGGGGAAUAUUGGACAAUGGGGGAAACCCUGAUCCAGCAAUGCCGCGUGUGUGAAGAAGGCCUGCGGGUUGUAAAGCACUUUCGGUUGGGAGGACUGCUUCUAGCACUAAUAUUGUUGGAAGUUGACGUUACCUUCAGAAGAAGCACCGGCUAACUCCGUGCCAGCAGCCGCGGUAAUACGGAGGGUGCAAGCGUUAAUCGGAAUUACUGGGCGUAAAGCGCGCGUAGGCGGCUAGAUCAGUCGGGUGUGAAAGCCCCGGGCUUAACCUGGGAACUGCAUCCGAUACUGUCUAGCUUGAGUACAGGAGAGGAGAGUGGAAUUCCACAUGUAGCGGUGACAUGCGUAGAUAUGUGGAGGAACACCAAUGGCGAAGGCAGCUCUCUGGCCUGAUACUGACGCUGAGGUGCGAAAGCGUGAGGAGCAAACAGGAUUAGAUACCCGCGUAGUC